Notolabrus celidotus (New Zealand spotty) is the source of this 627-nucleotide long non-coding RNA. RefSeq lists it as uncharacterized. The transcript has 4 exons. The record is from RefSeq and is a predicted model, not a curated record. NCBI's taxonomy places the organism in Eukaryota, Metazoa, Chordata, Actinopteri, Labriformes, Labridae.
CCUUCAUGCAUGACCUUUCAGCGCUCUCCCUUGGACUAUACUCUGCCAGCUGCCAGAUUUAAGCCUUUCCUUUUACUUUUCUUCUGAGCUGUCUGCUGUUUCUCUGUGUCAGUCUAAUUGUUUUAAUAGAGGUAAUUUUCCUUCAUACUUACCGUGGUUAUCUGAUUUUUCUGCAAAGUAAUGCUUGCUCGGAAGUGUGUUUACCAACCUGCCGGCUUUUCAACCCUCUGCCUAAGUACAACCUGUCCUCUGCCUUUCAUCUCUUGUAGCAGAACGUCAAGCAAGGACCAGGACCUCCUUCUCCCUGGCAAGUUGUCCAGCUCCUCCCAGGGGAUUCCAAGGUGUUUCCAUAGUAGAUGUGCUAUGUCAUCCCUCAAAUCAACUGGAUCUUGUUGAACAGAGAAUAAAGGCUGUUAAGGUGUUGUGUGAGGGGGAUGUAUUCCCACUGGUGCCUUCAGAGAGAGUCAUGUCCGCUGGGCAGAGGAGCAGAGACAGCCGCCCCAUCUCUGGCUGCUACCACUUAACCAGGCUUUAACUCGAUUGGCUCUCGGUUCACUCCACUCCAAAGGCUUACAGGACACACUGUUCACACUCUGACAUAAUAAAGUAAUACUCUGGAUUGAGAAA